Long non-coding RNA from Rhincodon typus (whale shark), 288 nucleotides. RefSeq lists it as uncharacterized. The transcript has 3 exons. NCBI's taxonomy places the organism in Eukaryota, Metazoa, Chordata, Chondrichthyes, Orectolobiformes, Rhincodontidae. The record is from RefSeq and is a predicted model, not a curated record.
AGGUUAAUGUGACAGUUGACUACAUCAGACAAGCUACCCCAUCUACGAACGUGACCCCGGCAUUCCCUGAACGGACCUGUUGCACGGUUACGAUUGGUGGAAUUAACAUUGCAGAAGCCCUGGUGAGUAAAGGUCUUGCAACAGUGAUCCGCUAUCGGCAAGAUGAUGAUCAGAGGUCUUCUCAUUACGAUGAGCUGCUUGCUGCAGAGGCCCGAGCUAUCAAGAAUGCUAAGGGACUGCACAGUAAAAAGGAGGUGCCAAUCCAUCGUGUGGCUGAUAUCUCUGGGG